Molecule: transfer RNA, 63 nt
Filed under: marine eukaryotic metagenome
Rfam family: tRNA
About the family: Transfer RNA (tRNA) molecules are approximately 80 nucleotides in length.
Source: RNAcentral
CUAGUAGCUCAAUUGGUAGAGCAUCUGACUUUUAAUCAGAAGGUCCUUGGUUCGAUUCCAAGC